UACGAAGGGGGCUAGCGUUGCUCGGAAUCACUGGGCGUAAAGCGCACGUAGGCGGGUCUUUAAGUCAGGGGUGAAAUCCUGGAGCUCAACUCCAGAACUGCCUUUGAUACUGAGAGCUUGAGUCCGGGAGAGGUGAGUGGAACUGCGAGUGUAGAGGUGAAAUUCGUAGAUAUUCGCAAGAACACCAGUGGCGAAGGCGGCUCACUGGCCCGGUACUGACGCUGAGGUGCGAAAGCGUGGGGAGCAAACAGG
This 252-nucleotide ribosomal RNA is filed under the name uncultured bacterium. Its description in RNAcentral is "partial 16S ribosomal RNA". It matches the Rfam family "Bacterial small subunit ribosomal RNA", at positions 524 to 776 of the family's 1533-position model. The record is from RNAcentral.